This 301-nucleotide ribosomal RNA is filed under the name uncultured bacterium. RNAcentral describes it as "partial 16S ribosomal RNA". It matches the Rfam family "Bacterial small subunit ribosomal RNA", at positions 509 to 807 of the family's 1533-position model. The record is from RNAcentral.
CAGUCGCCGCGGGAAUACGUAGGUGGCAAGCGUUGUCCGGAAUUAUUGGGCGUAAAGGGCUCACAGGCGGUUUCUUAAGUCUGAUGUGAAAGCCCCCGGCUCAACCGGGGAGGGUCAUUGGAAACUGGGAAACUUGAGUGCAGAAGAGGAGAGUGGAAUUCCACGUGUAACGGUGAAAUGCGUAGAGAUGUGGAGGAACACCAGUGGCGAAGGCGGCUCUCUGGUCUGUAACUGACGCUGAGGCUCGAAAGCGUGGGGAGCAAACAGGAUUAGAUACCCGAGUAGUCCCUGUCUCUUAUAC